This 459-nucleotide unclassified non-coding RNA is filed under the name Hevea brasiliensis (rubber tree). Lineage: Eukaryota; Viridiplantae; Streptophyta; Magnoliopsida; Malpighiales; Euphorbiaceae. The record is from RNAcentral.
AAUACUAACAGCUGUAUACUGAACCAGGGUCAUCAGUUGCUCCAUCAUCAACUCAGCUUCUUCCUUCAAUUGUCUCUGAGGGGUAGGCUCCCUCCUAUAUUUCUCAAAGAAGCGGUCCAAGUUGUGCCAUUGUGGAUCUUUACAUUGACUUCCAAAUCGAACUACUUCUCCAGCAAAAACCUGCAGUUCUUUCCUCUUAUCAUCAGCAACUAUACUUAGAAGUUCAUCCAUAUCAUUUGAUACUAGCAGUUGCACACUUUCUGAAGGUAGCACCACGUCUUUCAACUGUCGGAUGCUUCUUCUCGAAAGUGAAUGCAUAAGAUUAGAGCCUUUAACAAUGGUGUUUGCAACCUCAAAUGACAAAAUAGAUAGCUCAUUUCCUUUAAUUGUUGCACCAGAAACAAAUCCAUUGCUUAAAUUCAAAUUGGUCAAGCUGCUCCCAAUGGUGUCCAAUGCUUG